AUUUUGAAGACAAUUCUCAGUCGGAGUCACUAAGUCGGUGAGCACAAUUAAAAAUGUAAAAAAAAAAAAAAAAAAAAAAAAAGUGUGAUCCGUAACUUAUAGUUACAAUUGAACUUCCGGCUCAAAACAUUCUUCUUCCCUCUUCAGGGUUUCAAAAAGUGCUGCAGAUGAAUGGGCUUCAUCAGAAGAUGAUGAUGAAUCGGUUUUAAUCGAAAAGGUGGGUGCUGCAUUUUCUUCUUGUAGAGGUUGUUUUUCCUAAAUUUUGUUCUGGCCUUCAUUUUAAUAUGCUGUAUUUCAGAAACCGCAGAGGGUAAACCUAAGGAAAAUGAUUGCAUCUAAAAGAGGAGAAGGUACUGAGAAUCUUUAAGCCUAGUGUCUCUCCAUAGUUUGUGUUUAUUUUGGUAGUAAUCUUUCAUCCCUGCCUGCCCUGUAGCUUCUGCACUGCCUGAGAGAUCCUUAAGCGGUUCAGAAUCUGAGCCAGAGAGUGAGAAUAGAGUCCAGAGAAUCCCAUCCCUCCCAAAGGCUUUACCGUCCAGCAAAGCUCCACAGCGUCCAGUAGAUCCCUCUCCCAUUCCCUUCCUUUCCAAAGCACCCCAGAUGACUUCUACCCCUCUCCCAAGCUACAGAAAGAAAGAAGAUUCCAUUGAGGAUGAUGAUGACCAACAGGAGGAGGGAGAUGAUGAUGACGAUGAGGAGGAGGAUGAGGAGGAUGAGGAGGAGGAGGAGGAGGAGGAGGAGGAGGAGGAGGAGGAGGAGGAGGAGGAGGAGGAGGAGGAGGAGGAGGAAGAAGAGGACGUCUCGGAUGAAAAUGAUCAACCCGAAAAGAGUGGAGAGUCCCUUGAAGGCACGCCACCUCUUCCUGAAACAGAAGUCUCUAAAGAUAAGAAAAGAGAUUUCCUGUCCGAGCUGGGUCUAGAGAAGGGAGAGGAAGAGCAGGAUUCUUGGGACUCUGAGUCCCACUCUGGAAGCCCCAAUACGCCUCAUGAAGAGAAACAAAGCUUACCUAUUCAAGUUAAAGAAGAGAAGUCCAUCGUUGAAGAAGAUAUUAAAGAAAUUAGAAACUACAAUGCUGGUGAUAAUGGAGGCGAACAUGUCGAUAAAGAUGAUACGAUACAGAAAGAGACUGAGAAGUCAAAAUGGGAACCACUUCGUGUUUUGAGCCAACUCGAAGGAGAUAACGCACAAAAGACAGACUUAAUGGAAGAGCUUGGUCUGGGUGAUGUUGAUGAUAUUGAAGACUGGGACUCAGCCAGCACUACCAGUAAGAGAACCCUGCCUGGCCGCAGAAUGCCCUCCCCUGGACUUGAGGAGUUCCCAGAAUGCUCCACUCCAUCUGUCAAAGAGCAGGAUAAAGACAUUGCUCCAGCUGCACCCCUGACACCUCAGAGGAGCAUCAACUCCAACAAGACGCUGCCAGGUACACCCCCUCAACCCGGGCCCCAACCCCAGCCUCGAGCAAGGAAGAUGGUGCCUCAGAAACCAGAGAGUGAUGAAGGUAAGGCAUAUUAA
RNAcentral lists this long non-coding RNA (1509 nucleotides) under Cottoperca gobio. RNAcentral's name for it is "lncRNA (ENSCGOG00000000453.1)". Lineage: Eukaryota; Metazoa; Chordata; Actinopteri; Perciformes; Bovichtidae. The record is from RNAcentral.